GUACAAAAUAUCUGCCCUCCUACAUAUAUAUACAAUGCACUCAUGGGUCGGGUCGGGUGAUCCGGCCCAAAACUAAAUAAAUAUGGGCUCAGAUAUACACGGUCCAGCAGCAUUGAUGAUCAUAGCCCAUUACAGGUAUACCAUGAGUAUACAGUAAAUAUACAAUGAAUUACAAUGAUUUACAAUGAAUAUGUCACUUAUCCUUUGACUUGGAAGCCAUAUAAUCUGUCAUCUCAACAAAAAUAGAGAGGCUCUUUCUAGGAGACUCUCGGUUCAAGAGACCAACAAAAGAGGGGCAGAGCCAUUUAUCCUUUGGCUUGGACUCUCAUCUCAACGCCCUCCCUCAAGUUGGAGGGGGAGACCACCUGCAACUUGAACAACAAGGGAUGAAGCACAGUGCCAGGUAAAGACUUUGCCAGAAGGUCAGCCAGCUGACGAGUAGUAGGGACAUGAAGCAAGCGAAUGAAGCCAUUCUGGAGCUGAUCGCGCACAAAAUGACAAUCCACUUCAAUGUGUUUGGUCCGUUCAUGAAAAAAAGGAUUCUUAGCUAUAUGAAUAGCAGCCUGGCUGUCACAAGACACAGAAAAAGAAAGAGAAACAGAAACCCGAAGGUCUAGAAAUAAACGAGACAACCAAGACAAUUCUGCAACAACCUUACUGAGGGCCCUGUAUUCAGCUUCAGCAGAAGAUAAAGAAACCACUGGUUGUUUCUUUGACUUCCAACUAACCAGGCAACUACCCUGAAUAAUACAGAACCCAGUAACAGAUCUUCGUGUAUUAGGGCAUGCAGCCCAGUCAAUGUCAGAAUAACCAAUAACAGGGAAAACAUUUCUUCAGAAUAAAAGAGACCCAUAGAAGGGGUACCUUUAAGAUAUCUCAGCACAUGAAGGGCAGCAAUCAUAUGUGAAAGUCUGGGGCAUUUGAGAAACUGACUCAGAUGUUGCACAGCAAAACAGAUGUCAGGCCUAGUGCAGAAGACAAUUUGGCAUACCACUGUCUGGAUGCCUGUCUGAGCCCAUACAGGGAUUUGUUUAAUUUUCAAACAAGAGGUGUAGAGGCAGAGGAGGCAGAAACAGAGCCAGGAGCAGAAACAGUCAAACCUGGAGGGAGCUUCAUAUAGACCUCCUCAUCCAAAUCACCAUGUAGUUUACCAACAAGACUCCUAUACUGCUCAGGAGAAGGCAAAAGGUCACCAGAAUCAGCAUGUAGUUUUGCAUUAAUGUCCAAAGGACAAACAACAGAAGAGACAUUGACACAGUCAAACUGUUGCAGCAAAUCACCAUGUAAGAAAGCAUUAUUAACAUCUAGUUGAAAUAAAUUCCAAUGAUUUUUCACAGCCACAACAAUACGACACUUAAUACUGCACAUUUUAACCACAGAAGAGUGUCAGUGAAAUCAAUACCUUCAACUUGAGUAUCUCCUCUAAUUACAAGUCUAGCUUUAUACCUUUCAACAGAGCCAUCAGCUUUGUAUUUGAUUUUAUAAACCCAUUUACAACCAAUGAGUUUCUUACCAGGUGGAAGAGGAACAACAUCCCAAGUAUGGUUUGUGUCCAAAGCAUCAAACUCCUUUCUCAUGGCACCUCAAUUUCAUCACAAUCAUCCCAGUAAGAAUAAUAUCAUCCACAUAGACAGCUACAAUCACAAGGGACCCUCGUGUACCUUUGAUGAAUAGGGAAUAAUCAUUCAAAGAAUGUCUAUAGCCUCUGGAAUAUAGAGCAGAAGACAAUUUGGCAUACCACUGUCUGGAUGCCUGUCUGAGCCCAUACAGGGAUUUGUUUAAUUUUCAAACAAGAGGUGUAGAGGCAGAGGAGGCAGAAACAGAGCCAGGAGCAGAAACAGUCAAACCUGGAGGGAGCUUCAUAUAGACCUCCUCAUCCAAAUCACCAUGUAAGAAAGCAUUAUUAACAUCUAGGAGGAGAGGCUAAAACAGGAGGGGAGAUAUCGGGAUUAAAAAAAGGAGUUAAGCCAGAGUUAGCAGAGUUUGGAACAGUAUGAGGAGGUACUAACACAGAUGUAGGAGAAAGAGGAGAGGAGAUGGGAGUGGGAGAAUCAGGGUCAUCACAAUGUUCUACAGGUGGAACAAAAGGAAAGGAUAAAGCAGAAGGAUGAGCAGAAGAAGAUACAGUUUUAAAAGGAAAAGAGGAUUCAUGAAAUAUAACAUCCCUGGAAACCAAACAUUUCUUUGAAGAAAGAUCAUACAAUUUACAACCAUUCUUAGCAAAAGGAUAACCUAGGAAAACAUAAGGAAUGACUCUUGGUUUUAACUUGUCCCUUUGAGGGAUUGGUACAGUAGCAUAGGCAAGGCAUCCAAAUGUUCUCAAAUGUGAAUAGGUUGGAGCUUUCCCAUACAAAAUUUCAUGAGGAGAUUUAUUAUUGAGCAGAAGAAGAUACAGUUUUAAAAGGAAAAGAGGAUUCAUGAAAUAUAACAUCCCUGGAAACCAAACAUUUCUUUGAAGAAAGAUCAUACAAUUUACAACCAUUCUUAGCAAAAGGAUAACCUAGGAAAACAUAAGGAAUGACUCUUGGUUUUAACUUGUCCCUUUGAGGGAUUGGUACAGUAGCAUAGGCAAGGCAUCCAAAUGUUCUCAAAUGUGAAUAGAUUGGAGCUUUCCCAUUCAAAAUUUCAUGAGGGGAUUUAUUGUGAAGCAAUCUGGUUGGUAUUUUGUUAAGAAGGUAAGUGGCAGUCAACAAACAGUCCCCCCAAAAAGAUACAGGUAACCCAGAUUGGAAGAGUAAAGCUCUACAUGUUUCAAGGAGGGUUCUAUGCUUUCUCUCAACAACACCAUUCUGUUGAGGAGAAUGAGGUCAGGUGGUUUGAUGUAUGAUCCCUUGGCUACUAAAGAAAGAUACACCCUCAAUGCUAGACCCCAAUUCUAAAGCAUUGUCACUUCUAACAGUUUGAACCACAACACUAAAUUGGGUUUUAACCAAACACAGGAAUGACUGAAGCAAAGAAAAAGCAUUGCUUUUAGAUCCCAUUAAUCAGGUGGUUUGAUGUAUGAUCCUCUGAUUACUAAAGAAAGAAGUACCCUCAAUGCUAGAUCCCAAUUCUAAAGCAUUGUCACUUCUAACGGUUUGAACCACAGCAUUAAAUUAGGUUUUGACCAGAGAAAGGAAUGACUUAAGCAUAGAAAAAGCAUUGCUUUUGGAUCCCAUUAAGUGUGUCCAUGUUGCCCUAGAAAAAUCAUCAACAAUUGUAAGGACUUAAGCAUAGAAAAAGCAUUGCUUUUGGAUCCCAUUAAGUGUGUCCAUGUUGCCCUAGAAAAAUGAUCAACAAUUGUAAGGAAAUAUCUACAACCAGAAGAAGUUGGAGUAUGAUAAGGUCCCCAAGUGUCCACAUGAAUCAAUUGAAAGGGUCUACAGGUCUUAACAGAACUAUCAGGAAAGGGGAGUCUAGUCUGUCUUGCCAUAUGACAGACAGAACAUGGAAAAGGUUGCUUAGAAGCAAACGGAAAAGACAAACCAGAAAUAUGUCUCAUAUUUGUAAAUGGAGUAUGAGCAAGUCUUAAAUGCCAAAUGUAAUUCAUGUCAGUUGUAACAACAUUAUUNN
This 3552-nucleotide long non-coding RNA is filed under the name Nicotiana benthamiana. RNAcentral's name for it is "long non-coding RNA (NBEN_LNC004632)". The record is from RNAcentral. Lineage: Eukaryota; Viridiplantae; Streptophyta; Magnoliopsida; Solanales; Solanaceae.